UUUUUGGAGGGUUUGAUUCUGGCUCAGAACGAACGCUGGCGGCGUGGAUCAGGCAUGCAUGUCGAACGGUUCCGCAAGGAAUAGUGGCAAACGGAUGAGUAAUACGUAGGUAACCUACCCCAGACAUGGGGAUAGCAUUGUGAAAACGAUGGUAAUACCGGAUACGCUGCAUCGGUAAUUCCGAUGUAGGAAAGGUGGCCGCAAGGCUGCCGGUCAGGGAGGGGCUUACGGCCUAUUAGCUAGUUGGUAGGGUAAUGGCCUACCAAGGCAAAGAUGGGUACCCGGGCUGAGAGGCUGGUCGGGCAUAUUGGGACUGAGACACUGCCCAGACUCCUACGGGAGGCUGCAGUCGAGGAUCUUUCGCAAUGGGGGAAACCCUGACGACGCGACGCCGCGUGGACGAUGAAGGCCUUCGGGUUGUAAAGUCCUGUCACUAGGGAGGAAUAGUACCGGUAUUAAUACCAUCGGUACCAGACAUUACCUGGAGAGGAAGUACCGGCUAACUCCGUGCCAGCAGCCGCGGUAAUACGGAGGGUACAAGCGUUGUUCGGAAUCACUGGGCGUAAAGGGUGCGUAGGCGGAUGGGUAAGUGAAACGUGAAAGCCUGAGGCUCAACCUCAGAACGGCAUUUCAAACUACCUGUCUUGAGUGCGAAAGAGGUAAGUGGAAUUCUCAGUGUAGCGGUGAAAUGCGUAGAUAUUGAGAGGAACACCAGCGGUGAAAACGGCUUACUAUUUUGUUGCUGACGCUGAGGCACGAAGGUAUGGGGAGCAAACAGGAUUAGAUACCCUGGUAGUCCAUACAGUAAACGAUGUCAACUUGGUGUGGGGAAUUUCGACCUUCUCUGUGCCGGAGCUAACGUGUUAAGUUGACCGCCUGGGGAGUACGGCCGCAAGGUUAAAACUCAAAGAAAUUGACGGGGGCCCGCACAAGCGGUGGAGCAUGUGGUUUAAUUCGA
This 958-nucleotide ribosomal RNA is filed under the name Candidatus Auribacterota bacterium. RNAcentral's name for it is "bacterial SSU rRNA". It matches the Rfam family "Bacterial small subunit ribosomal RNA", at positions 1 to 954 of the family's 1533-position model. Lineage: Bacteria; Pseudomonadati; Candidatus Auribacterota. The record is from RNAcentral.